Molecule: non-coding RNA, 24 nt
Filed under: Cricetulus griseus (Chinese hamster)
Lineage: Eukaryota; Metazoa; Chordata; Mammalia; Rodentia; Cricetidae
Source: RNAcentral
UAAAAGUAUCUGGUGUCUUCAAAG